AAUUGGACCUGAUAUCAG
This 18-nucleotide ribosomal RNA is filed under the name Phytophthora medicaginis x Phytophthora cryptogea. RNAcentral's name for it is "partial 28S ribosomal RNA". The record is from RNAcentral. Lineage: Eukaryota; Oomycota; Peronosporomycetes; Peronosporales; Peronosporaceae.